Molecule: long non-coding RNA, 4408 nt
Filed under: Brassica napus (rape)
Lineage: Eukaryota; Viridiplantae; Streptophyta; Magnoliopsida; Brassicales; Brassicaceae
Description: long non-coding RNA (BNAP_LNC018525)
Source: RNAcentral
CUAUACUCAUUUGGAAUGCUUUGUUUAACAAAUUUAUCUGAUGGUUUUGUUCUUGUGGUAAAUGUUGCAGGCAAACCUUUGUGAAGAGCCUUGAGCCAUUUGUGAAUUGGCUUGAAGAGGCAGAGGAAGAAGAGUGAGUGAACCGUGUUUCCAAUAAAAAGAGCCUGCUCAGUGUGUUUGUGUUUCUUAAGCUAAAGACAAUAAAUCCACAGAGUUUAUUUUCUAAACUCUUUUGCUGCACUCUGUUUUUCUUGAUGUAUUUUGGCAAUAUUUCUGCUCUGAGAUGAUUGUAUUUCCUUUGUGUGUUGAAUAUUUUACUCUCUGUUUUCAAUAUGGGGUUUUGAAUUCUUCUUGCUAACGGUUUAUUCGAGAGGUGGGAUGAAGUCGUCCACUCCUUGCAAGUUUGUUUGCCACGUGAUUGUCUCCAAGGGCAUCAUUAACGGAGUGUGCAACUCCAGUCUCUUAGUUUUUUUUUUUUGUCAACAUUCUCUUUUUAUUAGAGAAACCCUAUGGGCAUUUUACAUGAGAAGUUCAUAAGGCUCAGUUAUAAAAUACAUACUCAAAAGCAAUAAAUCAAUACAGUCCGGCCCACUUUAAUCCCAUCAGAUCCUCUUGAGUUCGUAGACUUGCCACUCCAAUUCCACGCGUCUGCUAAGAAGAAACGCUCUGCCACGCGUCUUCAUCUUGAUAUGCAUGAAGCCACACCACAAAUUGAAGGGGGGUGGCGAUCGGUGGCAAAUUGCUCACCGGCCACCGAAAACAGUUUCAAUUUCUUUUGUGUUUCUAGAGAGAAGUUGGAGCGUUUAGAGAGAGAAAAGUAAUGAUGUGUACUCCAGUCUCUUAGUUUAAUUGGAUUUAAAAAAAAAAAGAAAAUUAGUAUAAUUAUGAGAAAACGUAUCUUAAUUAGGGGAAAUAAGAAAUGGCCUCUGCUGAGACACGUGUUGUCUUUUGGUUGUUCUUGUGUGUUUCUCUCUCUCCACGGAAGCAAAUCACCGCAUCUCUCUAUCUCUGCAAACCCAUGCCUCUAUCGAUAGAUCGUAAUCGAAUUCGGGAGGUGUAGAGGAACCGAUCAACAUGGGAAACAUCUUUGUCUCGCUUCUCGCCUUGACGCUGUUGUUGCUCGCUUAGACACCCAGGCUAAGAUGGACACCAUCACCAAAUCCAUGACUAACAUCGUCAAAUCCCUUGAAUCUUCCCUCGCCACAGGUAUGUCGAUUGUCAUUAGGCGCUUUUGAUUUGCUGAUAAUCGUUAAUUAGGGUUUAGGUGAAUGUGGAUUUGCAUGAUUGUUUCUGGGUAGAGAGAAAGGUUUUUUCUUUAUGGAAACCCAAGAGGAAAGUAGCGUCCUUUAGUCUUAAUUGCAUACUUCUUCUCUUAAGUGGAAUGUAGCAUGAACGAAGGGGAAUGGAUAGCAUGAAGUAGACAAGUCUAAGUAGAUUCAUUGACUUGUAUUGUAUGCAAUUUGAGGUUUUGUCUGUUGCAGACAAAAUGUGUUUGAUUGUAAUGUUGGUUCUAUCUGUUGAUUUGAUGCAGCAGGUAGCAGAUGACUAUGGUCUUGAAGUAUCUGUUUGAUUACCUCAGCCUGCUGAUCAUAAUGUUUCCUCAACGUGAGCUUCACCACCAAGCAGGCCCAUGGUUAUGCUUUUUCGAAAUCUGGUCAAGAACCCAUGGUUAUACAACUGACCAGUCCCGACUUGUGAUGAGUAAGCGUUGUAGUAGAACUCACGAGCUUCCUCUGCUGGUGUCAAAUUCUAGACCAACGUAAGGUUCGGCUCCUGAGCUUUGACACUGGUAAGCUCACUGCAAAUGAUCCAAAGAAGGGGAAGAAAAUACACACACGAGUUCAUCGAAAAUCUCACAUCAGACAAUGAGUUCCUAACUAUUGUAAAAAGCUAAGAAAGCUAGAGAAUUCAGAAGAAAGGAGGAGACUUUAUCAACCAACCCCAGAGAAGAUGCACUCUCAUCUGAACUGAAUUGAACUGAAGCCAACAACACAAGAACGUAAAAGCCAGACCAGAAAUGUUAUCUGUUUGAUUGAAGUAUCUGUUUGCUUGGACUAUCUGCCACUUAGGACGAGUUCCUUAUCAUAAUGUUACAGCUAUUAUCUACAAACACUUAUUGAAGCCACACAGCAAGCCCACAACAAGCCCAAGACUGUCAUUGGAGAGGUCCAUAGAAACCCAUGUAACUAGGGUUCUACCAUUUAGUAUAAAUAGUAGUUUAAGACUUUGUAAAAACUAAUCGUGGCUGCCGUAAGACCAUGAUUAUCCGGAGCUCUUAAGAGCGUUUCUUAGUUUAAUAAGAAUUAAAAAAAAAAUGAAAAAUGGCAAUAAACAUAAGCUACGGCUCUUAAUUAGGGAACAUAAGUGACGUUUCUUGUGAGCUCUAUCUUCUCCCUUUUUCGAUUUCCCGAGCUUCAGAUUAACAAACAUGGCCACCACUGGAAACAAGAAUAUCAACGCCAAACUGGUCAGUACCGAUUUUGUAUAUUCUUUGUGAGAUCUUUUUGUUUAUAUAUCCUCAAAUCCUGACUUCAAUUGAUUUUUUAUUUUUUGGAGAAUUUUGAUUGGAUCGUUGAUUUUCCAAUCAGGGAAAAUUUUCUCUUGUUUCGGAUCUCAUAGUUUCAUAGAUUGCAUGUUUUAUCAGUAUUAAGCUAGGGUUUUGUGUAAAGGUUGUAUCUUUGCAUGGAUUAUCCGAGCUGGUAGCUUUGUUUUAUCAUACAUAUAGACUUCUUUGUUUAACACUUUUUCUCAGUUAUGUCUUGUGGGUUUAGUGGUUGUGUUUUGUAGACUUCUCUUUUAUUAUCUGUUUGAUAGAUAAGAUUCUCGAUGCUAUUUCCCUCUAGUGAGUGCAAGUAUGCUGCUUUGUUCACCUAACAUUCUCUAGUUAUGAUUAUUUUGUUCUUGGUUUAGUGGUUUAAUUUUGUGGACUUAUCUCUUUGAUUAUCUGUUUGAUAGAUAACAUUUUCAACGCAAUUGCUAAGCUGGGAUUUACUGAGCCAACACCAAUACAAGCUCAGGGAUGGCCAAUGGCUUUAAAGGGUAGGGAUUUAAUUUGGCUAUUUCUCCACCUUCUCCGACUACAAGCAAUGUGUCAUCUCCUUCUCCUUGUGAUGUUAAAGUAGGUGAUCCUUUUCCCAGAAGCUCUCUGGAUUGCCUCCGGAGACUGUCUUCCAGCCUUUGCUCAAGGAUAAUCUUGUUGCCAAAGGGAUAGUGCUCACUUUUGUGACCGACUUCUUCAAGGAGUAUUUGGUUGAGAACAGUCUUGAAGACUUGAUUUCUAUUCUGAGGCGUGGCAAAAUGGAAGACAACCUUUUGGAUUUCUUACCACCUGUAAGGCGAACUGCUGAAAGCUUUGCAGAGCAUUUCACGUGAGUUUUCCUCCCUUUAAGUUUGUUCCAUUUCAAUAUCAUAGUUUUGAUUAUUACAUCUUUGAUCAUUGUUCAUUAAUCAAUCAUAUGGUGUUAUAUCCCUCUUUUGUCUGCCUCUACAUGCCAAGUUUGCAUUCUUAUCUUCUGUUUUACGUUGUUAGUACAAUUAGUUGACAAAUAGUUUGUGUUUUACUUUUUUGGAUUCUCAGGAAAGAGGGGUUGACUGAUCUAGUUGAGUACCAUUCAAAGAAAAUGUUUGAGGUGAAGCUGAAGGAAAUCAAAACCGUUCUUACAAGCAAGGUUACAGAGGAAAGUAGUGUAGAUGAAGUCAUUGAGACAGUGAAGCAGCUAGUCAAAGACGCCAAACUCCCAGAGAUUGAGGUUGUGCGUGUCGUUUGGGAUGGUUUAAUGGAUGCUGUUCAGUGGUCUGGUAAAAACCAGCAGCAAAAUGCUAAUUCUGUUCUCCGCCAGGUAAGAUUCAGUUUGCAACUGUCAUGUAACAGUUGCAUAUAGUCUAUGUGUGUUAUUCCAUCUAGGAGUUGUAUGUGAUGAUCCCUAUUAUGUAUGGUCACGGUUAUUUCUCUUGAUUUCUUUUACCUGUGCGCAGGUGAAAGCAUGGGCUCCGCUUUUGAACACGGUCUGCAGCAGCGGAAAGCUAGAGCUCGAGCUUAUGUACAAGGUCCAAAUGCAAUGCUAUGAGGACGCCAAGCUUAUGAAAGUUUUCCCAGAAGUAGUGAGGUCGCUCUAUGAUCUGGAUGUCCUCGCUGAAGACACCAUCCUCCACUGGUUCCGUAAAGGAACCAACACGAAGGGCAGGUAUGCGCUUUGGUCCCGUAGCACUAUACUCAUUUGGAAUGCUUUGUUUAACAAAUUUAUCUGAUGGUUUUGUUCUUGUUUUAAAUGUUGCAGGCAAACCUUUGUGAAGAGCCUUGAGCCAUUUGUGAAUUGGCUUGAAGAGGCAGAGGAAGAAGAGUGAGUGAACCGUGUUUCCAAUAAAAAGAGCCUGCUCAGUGUGUUUGUGUUUCUUAAGCUAAAGACAA